RNAcentral lists this ribosomal RNA (466 nucleotides) under uncultured bacterium. RNAcentral's name for it is "bacterial SSU rRNA". It matches the Rfam family "Bacterial small subunit ribosomal RNA", at positions 28 to 489 of the family's 1533-position model. The record is from RNAcentral.
GAUGAACGCUAGCGGCAGGCUUAACACAUGCAAGUCGAGGGGCAGCACGGGUAGCAAUACCUGGUGGCGACCGGCGCAAGGGUGCGUAACGCGUGAGCAACAUGCCCUAUACAGGGGGAUAAUCCAGGGAAACUUGGUCUAAUAUCCCAUAGUAUUUAGAGGAGGCAUCUUCUAUAAAUUAAAGCUUCGGUGGUAUAGGAUUGGCUCGCGUGACAUUAGCUAGAUGGUGAGGUAACGGCUCACCAUGGCAAUGAUGUCUAGGGGUUCUGAGAGGAAGGCCCCCCACACUGGGACUGAGACACGGCCCAGACUCCUACGGGAGGCAGCAGUGAGGAAUAUUGGACAAUGGAUGGAAAUCUGAUCCAGCCAUGCCGCGUGCAGGAAGACAGCCCUAUGGGUUGUAAACUGCUUUUAUAUGGGAGCAAUAAGGUCUACGUGUAGACUGAUGAGAGUACCAUAUGAAUAG